GAACUGAUAAAGUAUCGAACAAAAAUGAGAGAUAUAGAACCUGAGGCAAUAUGAUAUAAAUUUUCAUUUCCUAUGUUAAUAUCAUAUUCAUUGAGAUUUAAUCAUUAUAAUUUUUCAAAAAAUUUUUUCCUAUUUGAGCUUUCAACAACGGAGCAAUGUUUGCAUAAAUGACAAUGAGAUAAAUUCCACACAGAACUUUAAAAGGUUAUGACAAACCAGUUGCAAAGUCUUCAAAUUCAU
This 240-nucleotide unclassified non-coding RNA is filed under the name Hevea brasiliensis (rubber tree). The record is from RNAcentral. Lineage: Eukaryota; Viridiplantae; Streptophyta; Magnoliopsida; Malpighiales; Euphorbiaceae.